Molecule: long non-coding RNA, 2701 nt
Filed under: Capsicum annuum
Lineage: Eukaryota; Viridiplantae; Streptophyta; Magnoliopsida; Solanales; Solanaceae
Description: long non-coding RNA (CANN_LNC008643)
Source: RNAcentral
AAAUGAGUGAUAACAAUAAAAUAUUCAACAACAACAACAAUAAUAAUAAAACAAAUAUUAUUUUUUUUUGACAAUAAAUUGUAAAUAUUAUUACCACGACCAAAAUCAAAGAACUAGUAUUUACAAAUUAUGACACUAACUCCUUAUCCUCACCUAGCCAUAUAAAGCUUCAAACCAACUUAUACAACUCUUAAAAUUUUUGGACUCACUAUGGCACUAAAUCUAGCACUAACUAUAAACUGUAUCUCUUGUGCUGCUAUACCUAUAACCAUGUAUUGUUUUCUAUAUAAUUUCAUAUUCCUAUCAUUCCAAGAAAAUUAUAUCAAUGCACUAUAUAUUGCUUCCACUAUUUUUUUUAGCAUGCACCAAUGUUUGUUCUGAAUCAUCUGCAAUGUUCUGGACAUCUUCCUUUGGAUUAUUUAUAUCUCCAUCCAUUGUGAUAGUUUGUCCCACACCUGCACUGUCCAUUCACAUGCCAAAAAUAGAUAAUUGCCAAUCAUAAAAUGAAUCUAUGUAUAAGUUGCAUGAUUCUGCUCCACACCAUCCUGCUUAAAUGCCAUAUUUCUCCAUUUCCUACAAUAUCCUGGCAGCUCUUAGUCAUGGAGUAUUUAUCAGAUUUUGUGAGGAUGUAUUUACCAUUUCUAUACCAGCUUACCAUCCCUAGUUUAAUCAUAUUGAGUUGCUUCCAAUGCCAGCUACUCCUUGCUCUUAGAACAUGUUCCUAAAUGUCCUUUCCUCCUUUCAUAUACACCUCAUGAACCUGCCUAAUCACAAACUCUCAUUGUUAUUAGCCGGCUGCCAGAUGAACUUGCCAACAACAGUCAAAUUUCAAUGUUUACAGCUCUUUACAUUAAAUCAUUUUGAGCAUUACUAUCUUGUUAAUACCAUACUUACCCCCACUUCUUUUGAGUAUCACCAAUUAUUACAUUGAAAGGAGGUGAGCUCCAAAAAUAUAACAUGCUAUAACAUUUUGACAAAACUCAAUCUCAGAUUUAAUGUCUUCCAUUCAAUUUCAAUGAUAUUAGACACCAUACUUUGUAGGAGAAACAUACUCCAAUUUGAGCUUGCAUUUUCCAUUUUAGUGAUAUCAGAAUUAUCACAAAUGGAGUUCUUGUGGUGCUUAAGUUCCUCUUUAAUAAGAUCUUCCAGGAUUUCCUACCACUUGUGAUCACUUUCCCAUGAUUUUUAACAGUUGAAUUAUUGACGACUUCAUUCCAUAUGUGAUUCAUCUGCUGCUUCAACAAUUCUCCUUUUUGGGCACUGUUUUUACUGUAUCAUUAGAUUUAGCUGACUUCAAGCUCAAAAUUGCGCCGACUACCUCAUGUUUGGAAUUGACUUGACCCUUCUCCAUCAAUUUCACCAUUGAAGAUGAAGCUUGAGCUGCUCGUAAUUCCUUUGAAGAAGGAGUCCCCCGCAUUCCUAAUUCUUCAAUUUGAACCUGCUCAACUACUUUAGUUGCUGAAAUUUGCUUCUUCCCCUUACCUCUUGCUUGCACUAAUCUUGUUUUCAGCAUUUGCAUAGCUUUCUGUGAAGGUAUGCAAGUUCUCCUCCUUAUGAAAGGCGUAAUUUAGUAAACCUAUGUUAAUUAUCCUACCUCGGAAGAGGAAAGGGUCGUUGGUCUCCUUAUAUGGCUUGGAUAAUCCUCCUCCUCAUGAGCUAGCUUUUGGGGUGUGAGUUAGGUCCAAGACCAAUUUUCACAUGGUAUUAGAGACAAGUUCAUUCCAAAUAUUUAUUCACCGAUGUUGGGCCCCUAUAUAUAUAUUGUCCACGCUACAGUUAGCCUGGGCGUGCCGGGAGUGUUAAGUAUGCUCCUCAUGAGCUAGCUUUUGGGGUAUGAGUUAGGUCCAAGACCAAUUUUAACAUGGUAUCAGAGUCAGGCCCACCCAGUUCAUUAUUUUCGAUGUUGGGCCCCCCGUCUUAUAUUGUCCACGCUCUAGAUGUCCAGUCCUGAGCGUGCAGGGGAUGUGGGGGGUGUUGGAGUCCCACAUCGAUGGGUUAAAGGGUCCUUGAUCUCCCUCCUUAUAUGGUCUUGAGCAAUCCUCUCCUCAUGAGUUAGCUUUUGAGGUUGAGUUAGGCCCAAGACCAAUUUUCACAAUCUACACCCAGAAUGAAGCAGUCUUCGCAAAAGUUUGACUCACAUAUUCAAUAGGAAUUUUAAAAUAUUUUAGAGAUAGCACACAAGUACUCCCCCUCCCCCCAAACUGAUAGUGCAAGAUGGGCGGGGGUGAAUUGUUUAUUUUUUAUCUCUUAGUCAACUAUCUAGAUUCAUAAGCCGACUUAUAGCAAUAGUAAUUAAAUAGAAAAUAUAAAAGGCAAGAAAGUAAACUUGACACAAGAUAUUUUAUACUUGUUGGGAUCCCUAAUGUAUCUGACUCAAGUUUUCUUGGGUUGCAAGGGUGUUCUGCUAGUCUUUUUCAAAUGUUGAUUUGGUACAACGAUUGCUUUAAAAAGCAAUGCUAAGUAAACUCAAUAUUCUUUUUCUUUCAAAUCAUUUUACACUAUAGCCUCAGCAACAAUCUUUUUUUCUACCCUCUUUUUUUGUUACACAGUAAAUCUCAGAGACUUACAAUGCUUAUGAAAAGUAGAGCAAAGAAUGGUAGAUGAUAAAGACUAGUAGCGUAUGAAUGUUCUUCUUCAAGGUCCUUUAAAUAGUUGGGAAUAUGACCAUUGAAGGGGUGAUGCAACCCAAUAUAUUUGAUCC